UUAAUUAAGAGGCUGCCACCUCUUGUUUUGUUUCAAAAACGUUGCAAAGUUUCAUUGGAGGAGAGGGGAGGUGGCAGCCCCUUUUCUUCAUUUAAAUGGACAAGCAAGUGGAGAAAUGGAGGGGGAUGGUUUUUGGGACGGAAAAUCUCUGCACCCCAAGUCCCAAUCCAAAAUAAAGAAGAAAAGAAAAUUAUUACAACAAGUUACAAACACGAUAAAAUUAUUACAACAAGUUGCAAACACGAGCUAAACCUAAGUACAACCGAUUCUACCGUCAUUCACUUUGUCGUCAUUCGCAAGG
RNAcentral lists this long non-coding RNA (301 nucleotides) under Linum usitatissimum (flax). RNAcentral describes it as "long non-coding RNA (LUSI_LNC004517)". Lineage: Eukaryota; Viridiplantae; Streptophyta; Magnoliopsida; Malpighiales; Linaceae. The record is from RNAcentral.